GGGGCCUACGGGGGGCAGCAGUGAGGAAUAUUGGUCAAUGGGCGGGAGCCUGAACCAGCCAAGUCGCGUGAGGGAAGACGGUCCUAUGGAUUGUAAACCUCUUUAGGCGGGGAGCAAUGCCGGGCACGCGUGCCCGGAGGGAGAGUACCCGCAGAAUAAGCAUCGGCUAACUCCGUGCCAGCAACCGCGGUAAUACGGAGGAUGCGAGCGUUAUCCGGAUUUACUGGGUGUAAAGGGAGCGUAGGCGGCAAGGUAAGCCAGAAGUGAAAGCCCGCGGCUCAACUGCGGGACUGCUUUUGGAACUU
This 305-nucleotide ribosomal RNA is filed under the name uncultured bacterium. RNAcentral describes it as "bacterial SSU rRNA". It matches the Rfam family "Bacterial small subunit ribosomal RNA", at positions 334 to 635 of the family's 1533-position model. The record is from RNAcentral.